RNAcentral lists this ribosomal RNA (183 nucleotides) under uncultured bacterium. Its description in RNAcentral is "partial 16S ribosomal RNA". The record is from RNAcentral.
AUUACCGCGGCUGCUGGCACGGAGUUAGCCGGUGCUUCCUUUGGAGGUACCGUCACCCGCCUUGCGGCGUAUUCGUCCCUCCCGACAGUGGUUUACAAUCCGAAGACCGUCAUCCCACACGCGGCGUCGCUGCGUCAGACUUUCGUCCAUUGCGCAAUAUUCCCCACUGCUGCCUCCCGUAGG